AAGCUAUACUUGAGGAAUAUUUCUAUUGUAACCACAGAAAUUUCCCUGACCNUUAGAGUACCUGAAAUCAUGGGAAGGAGACACAGCAUUCUUUCCUGAGCAUGACGCCACUGCUGGUGUCACUUUGCCANAAUGGCUACAUGCCAUUGAUGAGUGUCCUUCUCUUCCUGUGGGAGAGCAAGAAGAAGGUGCCAUGUGAGUGGU
RNAcentral lists this small nucleolar RNA (204 nucleotides) under Neotoma lepida (desert woodrat). Its description in RNAcentral is "Small nucleolar RNA U3". It matches the Rfam family "Small nucleolar RNA U3". Rfam says of the family: Small nucleolar RNAs (snoRNAs) are involved in the processing and modification of rRNA in the nucleolus. There are two main classes of snoRNAs: the box C/D class, and the box H/ACA class. U3 snoRNA is a member of the box C/D class. The record is from Rfam by way of RNAcentral. Lineage: Eukaryota; Metazoa; Chordata; Mammalia; Rodentia; Cricetidae.